UGGGGAAUCUUGCGCAAUGCACGAAAGUGUGACGCAGCAACGCCGCGUGGGGGAAGACGGCCUUCGGGUUGUAAACCCCUUUCAGUUGGGACGAAGCCGAGCUAGUUAAUAGCUAGUUUCGGUGACGGUACCUUCAGAAGAAGCCCCGGCUAACUACGUGCCAGCAGCCGCGGUAAUACGUAGGGGGCUAGCGUUGUCCGGAAUUAUUGGGCGUAAAGCGCGUGUAGGCGGUUCGAUAAGUCUGCUGUAAAAGUCGGGGGCUCAACCCUCGAAAGCCGGUGGAUACUGUCGGACUAGAGUACGGAAGAGGCGAGUGGAAUUCCUGGUGUAGCGGUGAAAUGCGCAGAUAUCAGGAGGAACACCAAUUGCGAAGGCAGCUCGCUGGGACGUUACUGACGCUGAGACGCGAAAGCGUGGGGAGCAAACAG
RNAcentral lists this ribosomal RNA (428 nucleotides) under uncultured bacterium. RNAcentral's name for it is "bacterial SSU rRNA". It matches the Rfam family "Bacterial small subunit ribosomal RNA", at positions 355 to 775 of the family's 1533-position model. The record is from RNAcentral.